AUAUAUAUAUAUAUAUAGGGUGGGGAUCUAUAGAGAAUCCCCUUAGUGUAAAGAUUAAAGAAUUAAUCUUAACCAUCAAUUCAGUCAUGAUUCACGGUCAAGAUUACACCCGUUCUCUAAUUAAUCCAAUUUUUAAAUUUUCUGAAUAAUCAAAAUUUAUUGCUGAAAAUUCGCUGAGGGGUAUAAUUGGUGUUUCUUCUAUUUACUGAACAGACCAUCCGAAAUUAACGCUGGUAAUUAAUCAUUUACCACUCCAAGAAACACGUCUCAACAGAGCACACGAUGUUGACUCUCCAUCUACAGCAGCGGCGACUGGAUUUCGACGAUGAUUGCUUCAGUGUUUCGACGUUGAAUAUCAUAUACGCCUACGGCAUCACCGCCCUUCUCCUUCUCUCAUCCGCUUGUUUCCUCGAAAAUCAGAUUUUCGUGACUAUUCGGUCAUCUUCUAUUCGAUCUAUCGGUUAACUCUCCUCGAUGAAGCUCUUUCUCUCGCUCUGAUUUGAUUGGACUUUAUCUGGCUGCAUUUGGUGUAUGGAAGAGUCUGAUUCCGUGAGCAAGACAAGAUGAUUGGUUUAGUGAAAGUUGUCAAGGUGGGAUGGGUGCUCGUCCGAGAAAGUGAUAUGCAAACAAGAUUUGUGGCUUCAAAAUCACUUGAACAACUAUUCAUAGUGUUGAAGUAGAUAUUCGAUUACUUUGUUCACUUAUUCAUAAUAUGUUCAUUCAUAAAAAUCUGUAAUAUAUUUAUUUAAUUUAACUUAUUGUUUGGAA
Long non-coding RNA from Salvia miltiorrhiza (redroot sage), 768 nucleotides. RefSeq lists it as uncharacterized. The record is from RefSeq and is a predicted model, not a curated record. NCBI's taxonomy places the organism in Eukaryota, Viridiplantae, Streptophyta, Magnoliopsida, Lamiales, Lamiaceae. The transcript is spliced from 2 exons.